AGGCCGGCCGGUAAUACCGGCAGCGCACGARUGAUGGCCGAUCUUAUUGGGCCUAAAGCGUCCGUAGCUGGCCGCGCAAGUCCAUCGGGAAAUCCACCYGCUCAACRGGUGGGCGUCCGGUGGAAACUGYGUGGCUUGGGACCGGAAGGCGCGACGGGUACGUCCGGGGUAGGAGUGAAAUCCYGUAAUCCUGGACGGACCGCCGAUGGCGAAAGCACGUCGCGARAACGGAYCCGACAGUGAGGGACGAAAGCYAGGGUCUCGAACCGGAUUAGAUACCCGGGUAGUCCUAGCCGUAAACAAUGCCUGCUAGGUGUGGCACCCACUACGAGUGGGUGCUGUGCCGUAGGGAAGCCGCUAAGCARGCCGCCUGGGAAGUACGUCCGCAAGGAUGAAACUUAAAGGAAUUGGCGGGGGAGCACUACAACCGGAGGAGCCUGCGGUUUAAUUGGACUACCUCCCGGA
RNAcentral lists this ribosomal RNA (465 nucleotides) under Methanobrevibacter smithii. RNAcentral describes it as "bacterial SSU rRNA". It matches the Rfam family "Archaeal small subunit ribosomal RNA", at positions 460 to 922 of the family's 1478-position model. Lineage: Archaea; Methanobacteriati; Methanobacteriota; Methanobacteria; Methanobacteriales; Methanobacteriaceae. The record is from RNAcentral.